Molecule: ribosomal RNA, 238 nt
Filed under: uncultured bacterium
Lineage: Bacteria
Description: partial 16S ribosomal RNA
Source: RNAcentral
AUUCACCGCGGCAUUCUGAUYCGCGAUUACUAGCGAUUCCAGCUUCGUGCAGKCGRGUUGCAGACUGCAGUCCGAACUGGGACGGUMUUUUUGGGAUUCGCUCCCCCUCGCGGGUUCGCUUCCCUUUGUUUACGCCAUUGUAGCACGUGUGUAGCCCAAAUCAUAAGGGGCAUGAUGAUUUGACGUCAUCCCCACCUUCCUCCAGGUURUCCCUGGCAGUCUCCCUAGAGUGCCCAUC